This 376-nucleotide unclassified non-coding RNA is filed under the name uncultured bacterium. RNAcentral's name for it is "contains 16S-23S intergenic spacer region". The stretch from base 1 to 123 matches the Rfam family "5.8S ribosomal RNA", at positions 30 to 154 of the family's 154-position model. The record is from RNAcentral.
GCAUCGAUGAAGAACGCAGCGAAGUGCGAUAAGCAGUGCGAAUUGCAGAACCGUGAGUCAUCAGAUUUUUGAACGCAACUGGCGCCAGCUGGCUCUCCAGCUGGCAUGCUUGUUUCAGUGUCUUGUUUUCUCCUCACCCAGAUCUUAAUGCUUGAGAUACCCUUCUCUUGCUAAGUUCGAAUGCACUCUACAUUCUGCAGGCAGCCUUGACUUGUCAAGGGUUGCACUCAAUGCAGCAGUCACAUUUCUAAUGUGAACUCAUUGAGAGUAGAAGUAGCGCAGCUUGUCUGCUAGUGCUUAGUCACUCAAACUUUACUUGCAUCUGAAAUCAAGCAGGAUAACCCGCUGAACUUAAGCAUAUCAAUAAGCGGAGGAA